AAUCUGAAAUAUGUACUCGGACAAUUGCAGUUGUCCAAUUGGGGAGUAUAGUGACCUAUGGCUAUAAGAUGUGUAUGUAAACAUACUGACGGUACAGCAAAUGAAAUUGUGUUUUGGGAGCGUUUCACCUGGUAGCCUGGAAGGUAGUUUGCUCCAACGCAACUGUGUUGGGUGCGUUUCACCUGGAAGCUUGGAAGGUAGUUUGCUCCAACGCAACUGUGUUGGGAGCGUUUCACCUGGUAGCCUGGAAGCUAGUUUGCUCCAACGCAACAGUGUUGGGUGCGUUUCACCUGGUCGCUUGGAAGGUAGUUUUCUCCAACGCAACUGUGUUGGGAGCGUUUCCCCUGGUAGCAUGGAAGGUAGUUUGCUCCAACGCAACUGUGUUGGGAGCGUUUCACCUGGUAGCCUGAAAGCUAGUUUGCUCCAACGCAACUGUGUUGGUAGCGUUUCACCUGGUAGACUGGUAGGCAGUUUUCUCCAACACAACUGUGUUGGGAGCGUUUCGCCUGGUAGCUGACCUGUGUGUUGUCUAGCAUCUGCAUUAGCUAGCUAUAGCUGCUGUAUAUGGGGAAUGGGUUUGCCUAGCGAUUGUUAGUACUUGCACUUUGUCCUAUGAACAUCAACACCGGCAAAUUCCGAUUUGUAGUACUGCAAAUUUAAAUUUUGGACAAUUUUUACAUUUCAAUAUUUUGUCAAAUUUCACAAAGUCCAUUCCAAGAUAUGUACGAACAUCAGCAAUGGAGGCAAGUAAGGUUUAUCACUUUCUAUGGCAAUUUACUUGAGUAAAAUUGUUUGCUCUAUAAAAACAUAUGGUUCUCACUGUACCAUAAUCAUCUUGCUAGAUGUGCCUCAUGCUGUCCUUCAUAUUACUUAUUUGCAAGGAAUUUAAGCAUUGACAAUUAUUUAUGAACGUUGAACCAUGAAAUAAAUGCCUUGAAUUAUUUUUGUUCAGGGGUAGGGUUGGCCCCUGAUCAUUUAAUUUCAAGAUCAGUGUUCUACAGUGUUUGUCAAAUUCAGGACUGGCGCUGGAAGCUGUAGGUGGAGGGAAGACCAGGAGUGGUGCAGCUCUGCAGAUGCUGAAGGUGUGCCAAAGGGUCACGUGUGUUCCUGAAGGGACUGAGGCGACGCAGUCGGAGGUCCCUGCGGUGGCGGUCAGCGGGAGGUGUCAGGACCAACCAGCUCCUCGUCCAGGAAAGGGGAAUUCAUCAGACCGAUUAAAGGUUCAAUAAAGUCACGAUGGAAGAGCAGAUGGCUGUGCAGUUGCCAUGGUGUAGAGACCCAGAGUAUGAUGACUGAACAGUUGAUCUACAACGAUGGCCUUCUCCCCAUCCACCCUGAGGAUCCCUGGCUACACCUACAAUCCAAUCUACACCAGACAUAACCACUCGGAGAUCAACAACUCCUACAACUCCUCCUGCCUCCUCCACACCAUACUGUUACCACUUUACCAUUUUAACUUUAAAACAAAGUACUGUAAUUCACACCAUAUUGUAGGAAAAGCAUGUUUAGCUCGAUGCUUUAUACAUUCUAUUUCUGUGACCCCAACUAUUGUAUUUCUAACCCAGUUACCUCUGAACCCUCUUUCUAAGGGAGCGACUAAAGGGACAAAGCUGGAGCUAACCUGAGCUUAACAAUCGUUCUAAUCUUUCUUUCAAAUGUCCUAAAUUGAAUCACAUAAAAUUCCUAAAGUAACUUGUCUAACAAAACAAAAAGCCAACCUAAUACCCAAACUUAACCAUCUAACUAAAGAUCUCAAAUGCCUAAACUCUCUUACCUUAAACGAGUACCUAAACUGAACCAUCUAACUAAACAUCUCAAAGGCCUAAACUCGCUUACGUCAACCUAACCUAAUACCCAAACUUAACCAUCUAACUGAAGAGCUCAAACGCCUAAACUCUUACCGUAACUUGGUACCUAAACUGAACCAUCUAACUAAACAUCUCAAAGGCCUAAACUCGCUUACCUCAACCUAACCUAAUACCCAAACUUAACCAUCUAACUGAAGAGCUCAAACGCCUAAACUCUUACCCUAACCUAGUACCUAAACUUGACCAUCUAACUAAACAUCUCUAAUACCUAAACUCUUCCCUAAUACCUAAACAAUCUAUAUUACAAUCACUAAUGCCUAAACUUAACCAAUCACCAAUAAUUAAAGUUAACCAUCCUUAAUCUUAAACCCAAACCAGACUUGUCCCUGGGUCGCUCCACUUUCUUUCUUCAAAGGCUUCUCUUUUCCCCCACAUCUGUGUUUUAUUCCUUGAGGACUUCAAGUACUUCAGAUGAUAUUUGAAAACUUGUUUCAUUAAUAAAGAUACUUCAUCUUUACAGAUUUUGUUUUGGGGAAUUGGCUGAGCAGCUUUAGCAUCCUUACUGGUGAAUCUGAUCUGACGAUAACAAUCUUAGGACUAUGAAGCCAAUGACAUGAGGCUGAAUAUGUGAAAAGACGAGGUAGACAAUGAUCGAGGAGUCAACAAGGAGUUGAUUGGUAACUAUCUAACAUGGAACCAAACGCCUAUUUAUUGAUCCGUUACCAGGCUAUCGCAGUAGGGGAAUCUGAAGGAGUACCAUACUGUGUUGCAUGGGUUCUUGCUAGAUUGCAUUACGGCUGAGGCCAUUGAUUAAGAUUGUUAAUUUGAAGAAUAUGAAUAAAGAGUACUUGAAGUGGA
This is a long non-coding RNA of Gadus morhua (Atlantic cod), 2666 nucleotides long. RefSeq lists it as uncharacterized. NCBI's taxonomy places the organism in Eukaryota, Metazoa, Chordata, Actinopteri, Gadiformes, Gadidae. The record is from RefSeq and is a predicted model, not a curated record. The transcript is spliced from 4 exons.